Molecule: ribosomal RNA, 442 nt
Filed under: uncultured bacterium
Lineage: Bacteria
Description: partial 16S ribosomal RNA
Rfam family: Bacterial small subunit ribosomal RNA
Source: RNAcentral
CCUACGGGGGGCAGCAGUAGGGAAUCUUUCACAAUGGGCGAAAGCCUGAUGGAGCAACGCCGCGUGCAGGAUGAAGGCCUUCGGGUUGUAAACUGCUUUUAUAAGCGAGAAAUAUGAUGGUAACUUAUGAAUAAGGAUCGGCUAACUACGUGCCAGCAGCCGCGGUCAUACGUAGGAUCCGAGCAUUAUCCGGAGUGACUGGGUGUAAAGAGUUGCGUAGGUGGCAUAAUAAGUAGCUAGUGAAAUCUGGUGGCUCAACCAUUCAGACUAUUAGCUAAACUGUUAAGCUCGAGACCGUUAGGGGUAACUGGAAUUGCUAGUGUAGGAGUGAAAUCCGUAGAUAUUAGAAGGAACACCAAUAGCGUAGGCAGGUUGCUGGGACGGUUCUGAAACUAAGGCACGAAAGCGUAGGGAGCAAACGGGAUUAGAUACCCUAGUAGUC